Molecule: long non-coding RNA, 2201 nt
Organism: Capra hircus (goat)
Lineage: Eukaryota; Metazoa; Chordata; Mammalia; Artiodactyla; Bovidae
Exons: 4
Source: RefSeq, a predicted model, not a curated record
CCCGCCCCGCCGCGCUCCAAGCUCCAGACCAGGGAGCUCCCGGGAGAGGACCGGCCACCUGGACAGACUGGGAACCGCGCCCCGGGGCAGGAGCGCGGCUGGCUCCCGCAGUCUCCCGGCCCAGCACCGAGCUGAGCGCGGAGCCCCACCUGAGUCAGAGGGGCUACGGGGAGCGGAGGGACCGAAGGCCGGGGCUUACACGGAGCGCAGGCUCAGUGACGUGGCCCGCCCCGCUGGGCCGCACCCUCGAGUACCUGUGUGGCGGGUCCCCUCACAGUGGACCUGGCCCCCCGCGCACUUGCACUGUUCCACGCGGCCCUGGUGCACGCGGGCCCAACGAUCGCCCGGCUCCAGUGCAAGAGUGCAGCAUGCGGCCGCCGUAGCGGAAUGGGAACCUGCAGGGCUGCCCGGCCUCGGAAGCAGCUCACAGCACCUAGAACUGGGGACGCGCUGCAAACCUGCCAGGGGACCCCAAGAAGAAGCGCACCGGCCUACGGUGUCCGCAGUGCCCCACUGGCUGGGGAGCCCCCGGUGCUGUUGGGAAGCCCCAAGGUGAGUCCGAGGCUCAUGGGAGGAGCACCGCCUAGGACACCCGAGGAGGCAAGCAUCCAGGGCUACCACCUCAGUGGGGAUUGGGGGGCGGUGGGGGUGGCUGCGGUGGUCAGAAGCUACUGCCAGCGCUGGCAUGACCCGGGUUCCUCCCCACCAGUGCACUGGGGCGGGUGGGGCGGACGGGGCUCAGAUGGCCCUAGCAGUGUGCUGGGAGACGCAGGGACCCACCAGUAACCCUGCCCAGGCUCUGGAGCGAGGAGCAGAAGACAGAGGUCGCACUGGGAAAACCGCGUGGGCUCGACGCCUGAGCGGAGUGUGGAGCCGGGGAGGACGUGGCUGGACCACAGGCAGCCAGCAGGCCUGCGCUCCGGGUUCACGGGGGACGAGGUGGAAGGAUCCGUCCGCCUCACGCAGCAGCGCCGGCACCCCCCCACCUUCAGCCAUCCGACCGCUAACCCCCGGGCUCAAGGAGGGGAGAGCCAUGCUCCCCGCGUGCUGUGUCUGCGCGUCCAGCACCGCCCCUCCCCCCCAUCCUGCCCUUAUGCAGCUCCGUCUGCAGACACACCCGCGGCGCCCAAGUGUAUCUAGAGUGGUCUAUUUUCAAAAGCCAGUAUAUUAAAUAAUGAAUUACACGGAAAUGUGCAGUGUUUGCCAUGGAUUAAAAUACAUCUAUCGUUUUCCAAGGAGAAAAUGGGUUUUCGAAUGGAGGAGGAAAGAGUUUCCAAGCAGUCCGAUGGUCAGACGUAGGGUUUAUUUCUCCUGGAGGAGCACAGAUGCAGCCGCGCAGGUAUGCAGGGGAGACAGGGUCGCAGAGCAGGCCACAUGCGAGGAGGCGCCCACCCACACGGCCGGUCCUCCAGAGCCACCCCGCGCACCGAGGCGGCCCACCGCGGCCCGGGGGCCCCAGAGAUGCGGCUGCGGGUCCCGGAGGACCCGGCCCAGGCAGGACUCAGGCAAAGGGGGCCUUCCUGGAGCAGCCCACAGGGAAGGUCCGUGCACCCCAGGAGGCGAGGAGCCGCCCCGCGGGCGUGGCCCUCUGCAGGCGGAGCGAUGUGCCCCCUGAGCCCCUUCUCCAGGAGGCCGGGGGCCUCGAAAUCUAACAUUCAUGCGUCUCGGGACCGGCUCACGUAACACGUCCACGCUUCCAUUUGGCGGAACCGUGCUGACCUCCCGGGUGAGGGAACUCCAGGCCCGCGGGCCCCCACGUGCUCUGACCGAUGUGCAGAGGGGGAGCAGUCCCCCGCGGCCGGACCUGGGGGUCACCGUGGGCCUCGGGCUCUAAGCCACACAGGGCUUGCUCAAGACAAAUUUUUUUUUCAGUCUUGAGAUUAAAAUACUGAAAGUGCUAGUGAUCUAGAUUGUAAAAAUAACACACAUUUUUCAGAAAUCCCCAGGGCCUUGCUUGGUGGUGGCAUUACCGCCCCGGACUGGGGAGAGGAGCAGGGGAGCGCCAGGGCCCGGUGGGGGCGCCACUCACGAGCGAGUGCCCGCUGCCCCCUCCCGCCGUCCUGGCCACUCUCCGACCUCAGCGGCGCUGGGUCCUCAGAGAGGGCGGGGCAGCCAGGACAAGCACGUCACCGAGGAGGAAGCACGCUGCACCCUCCCUCGAGAGACUCCGGGCGGGGGGUUCACUUCCCACCGCCCUCUCG